RNAcentral lists this unclassified non-coding RNA (399 nucleotides) under soil metagenome. RNAcentral describes it as "partial contains 5.8S ribosomal RNA, internal transcribed spacer 2, and large subunit ribosomal RNA". The stretch from base 1 to 120 matches the Rfam family "5.8S ribosomal RNA", at positions 35 to 154 of the family's 154-position model. The record is from RNAcentral.
GAUGAAGAACGCAGCGAAAUGCGAUACUUGGUGUGAAUUGCAGAAUCCCGUGAACCAUCGAGUCUUUGAACGCAAGUUGCGCCCGAAGCCUCGGCUAAGGGCACGUCUGCCUGGGCGUCACGCAUCGCGUCUCCCCCAAACCGCCAAGGCGGAGGGGAAGGAAGAUGGCUUCCCGUGCCUCACCCGGCGCGGUUGGCCUAAAUUUGGAGCCCGCGGCACUUAGCUCUCGCGGCGAUAGGUGGUGAACAAGGCCUUGGCCGUGCAAACAACCCGCUGCGAAGCUCUAUGUCACGUGCGCUCGUCGGACCCUUUGAAGUUGCCUUCGGUGACUUAAAACCUUUGCGACCCCAGGUCAGGCGGGGCUACCCGCUGAAUUUAAGCAUAUCAAUAAGCGGAGGA